This 2999-nucleotide long non-coding RNA is filed under the name Nothobranchius furzeri (turquoise killifish). RNAcentral's name for it is "lncRNA (ENSNFUG00015010101.1)". Lineage: Eukaryota; Metazoa; Chordata; Actinopteri; Cyprinodontiformes; Nothobranchiidae. The record is from RNAcentral.
AUGGCACACUGGCAAAAGCUGAGAGUGUUAUCUCCUGCUGCACUACUGAGGCCCUGUCCACACGUAGCCGGGGAUCUGCCAAAACGUAGAUAUUUUUCUACGUUUUGGCCUGUCAUCCACACGAAAACGGAGUUUUUUCACACGAAAACGGAUCUUUUUAAAAACUCCGGCCAAAGUGAAGAUCUGCGUUUUCUCCGUUUUGGGUGUCUGCGUGUGGACGGACAAAACCGGAGUUUUAAGGUCCGCAACGUCACUUUCCACGACAAAAAAAUGCUGACAUCACGUGUGCGACCUGUGUUUACACUAGCCGACAGCAUGGAUGCCCUCAGAGCUGCGCUCGCUUUAUCAAUUGUCCAAGCGCUUUUUGCUUGUUUGUUUUUGCAAGCGGAAUUACUGCUCCUUGCGGAAGACCACAGACGAAGGACGAGGUUAAGAACGGGGGAAGUACUGCCGCCUACAGGUCUGGCAUGUCCUUAACAACGUAUUUAUCCGGGUACGUGUGGACAGAGUUUCUUUUUAAAACGAGGUGGUGUGGAUGCAAGUUUUUGGAGGGGCGGAUAUUCGUUAAAAAAAACGGCUACGUGUGGACUAGGCCUGAAUGUCUGAUCAUUGCCCCUGCGAGCAUGGUUCCCCUGAUUAGUCUGAAACUUGGUCAUUUAUCCUCUGCUGUCAAGACAAACUUAAGGAAUUUGGGUGUUAUUUUUGACCAAUCAAUGUCUCUUGAAGACCACUCAAAAACGUUGGUCUGAAACCGUUUUUACCACUUAAGAAGUAUCUCCAAACUGUGAAGGUUGGUGUCAAAACAUGAACUUGAAAUGGUUCUCCAUGCCUUUAUCUCCUCCCGUCUAGAUUACUGUAACACACUUUUCACAAGUUUUAACAAAAAAGCACUUGACCGCCUUCAGUUGGUCCAGAACUCUGCAGCGAGGCUCCUAACUGGAGCAAACAGAAGAGCACACAUCACUCCUAUUCUGAUGCCUCUGCACUGGUUACCCGUUAACUUUAGAGUCCUGACUAUAACUUUCAAUGUUCUCCAUGGUCAAUCUCCUCCCUAUAUUACAGAACUGUUAAAGCCUUGUGCUCCAACCCGAGCCCUCAGGUCCACACACCAAAUUUAUAAUUUUAUGACUUUAUUUUUUCUGAUGUUAAUCUAAUUCUGUUUUGAGAGCAUUUUGAUUUUAUGAUGUUAAUCUAUUUACGAUUUUAUGACUGUUUUACUUUGUUUUGAUCUAGGUGAAGCACUUUGUGAUUCUAUGUCUGUGAUAAGUGCUUUAUACAUAAAAUUUACUUACUUACUACUUACAAGGAGAAUUGAAAUGUUGAACUAAAGGUAUAGCUCUGCACCUCUGAAGUGUUUUUCUGUGAACAUAGCUUUUAACGUACCAUUUAUAGAUGGCUUUCUGAACAAACUCAGUUUGCAGAAAGAAAGAUUGGUUCUAUCCAGACGUUGGAAUUCAUGUCUAGUCUGAGUUUUGCCAUUUAUAAAGUGUUUGUUGUUUACACUAGAGUCUAAAUGUUACAGUAGUUCAAGCAAAUAUUAGUUUUUCAAUUUUUUACAACAUUUAUUUUCACAUUACAUAGUUAAAUUACAAGUGGUUAUUUUCAUGGUGGAAGCAAUGAAAGGGUUAUGAAUGCAUUUGCAUGAACUAAAAUGAAAUCUUUGAGAUUAUGAUAACUUUAUAAAUUAAAUUUGCAGCCAGGGCGAAGCUCAUUUUAAGAAGAAGCUGUUUAAGAAUGUUUUAUUGUGUUUAACCUGGUUGCUUUUACAUCCGGGAGGGGCUCUGAGUAGAUUAACUACUCCUCCACAUUGAGAGGAGCCAGUUGAGGUGGUUCGGGCAUCUGGUGUGCCUCCUGGAUGCCUCCCUGGUGAGGUUUUCCGAGCACUUCCAACCAGGAAGAGACCUAAAGGAAGACCCAGGACACGCCGGAGAGACUAUGCCUCUCGGCUGGCCAGUGAACACCUUAGAAUUCUUCUGCAGGACCUGAACCACAUGGCUGGGGAGACGGAAGGAUUGUUUAUUGCAUCUGUCCAUUUUGGGUUUUGUUUAAUGUAACGUUUUGAUUCAUGUGAAGCAUUUUGUCGUAUUUGUUUUGAGCAGAGCUAAAUAAUGCAAAUGUAAGAGAUAUUCAUAUUUCUUCUUCAUUAAGUCUAUAAAUCACACAAACUUGAGUUUUGGAAACAGCUAAUUUUCCUCGUCGAGUAAUAAUUUAGUGUUUGUCACCACGAGCAACACCUUAAAAUUCUGGAGAAUAGGAAAACUUCUCCUUUUAUUUGAUAUAAUUUACAUUAAUACUUUAGUGCUCCUUAAUCAGUCCAAACACCAAAUAUGUGUGCAUAAUUACUUUGCAACAAGAGCAUUUCUUCGCUUUUUCUGCAAUCUUGAUAAAUCCUGAUUAAGCUGUAAUUCUUUAUGGAUCCAUUAUCAGCCCCAGCUCUUCAGAGGCUUUUAUAGACUCUGUGUGUAUGUGUGUGUGAGUGUGAGUGCGUGCGUGUGUGUGUGUGUGAUCUGUCCUGAUUCCUGAUGCCAUCCAGCAUGAAUGACAUACAGUACGUUAGAAAUAAAAUCAACAGGGGCUUUUCUGGUCGCGGUCUCCUUGGGGUCCCUGUGCUCUGGGGCAGCUCCUGGAUCUCUGGGACUUGGAGCUCCCUUCGUCUCCUACACAUCUUUGGGGGGCAGAUCUGUGGUCCCUCACACUCUCUGUUGGACGCUCCUAUAGAGAAACCUUACAUAUACAAGCGCGUGUACACACACAGGUGCUCACAGAAGUAUGGACUUGGGCAUUUUCAACACAGGUCUUAAGGCUGUGGUGGGCACUUAAUGCACUGUGAGUUAUUAUCGUGUGAUUGUUCAGUUAAACAAUGUUGAUUAUAUAUCUCUUCAUCAAGUUGAUGCAGUGAUAGUUUGCUCCUGAUGUAUUGUUGUGUAUCCCUUUUCUGCAGGUCUAGGAGCAGACUCUUGUUCAUCAUUGAUUGUUUAUUUUUGUUGAACCCCCCCCCC